CAUAUCAAAAAGCGGAGGAAAAGAAACCAACAGGGAUUGCCUCAGUAGCGGCGAGUGAAGCGGCAAAAGCUCAAAUUUGAAAUCUGGCGUCUUUGGCGUCCGAGUUGUAAUUUGAAGAAGGUAUCUUUGGGCCCGGCUCUUGUCUAUGUUCCUUGGAACAGGACGUCACAGAGGGUGAGAAUCCCGUGCGAUGAGAUGACCCGGGUCUGUGUAAAGUUCCUUCGACGAGUCGAGUUGUUUGGGAAUGCAGCUCUAAGUGGGUGGUAAAUUCCAUCUAAAGCUAAAUAUUGGCGAGAGACCGAUAGCGAACAAGUACAGUGAUGGAAAGAUGAAAAGAACUUUGAAAAGAGAGUGAAAAAGUACGUGAAAUUGUUGAAAGGGAAGGGCUUGAGAUCAGACUUGGUAUUUUGCAUGCUGCUCUCUCGGGGGCGGCCGCUGCGGUUUACCGGGCCAGCAUCGGUUUGGAGCGGCAGGAUAAUGGCGGAGGAAUGUGGCACGGCUUCUGCUGUGUGUUAUAGCCUCUGACGAUACUGCCAGCCUAGACCGAGGACUGCGGUUUUUACCUAGGAUGUUGGCAUAAUGAUCUUAAGUCGCCCGUCUUGAAACACGGACC
Molecule: ribosomal RNA, 613 nt
Filed under: Candida albicans
Lineage: Eukaryota; Fungi; Ascomycota; Pichiomycetes; Serinales; Debaryomycetaceae
Description: eukaryotic LSU rRNA
Rfam family: Eukaryotic large subunit ribosomal RNA
Source: RNAcentral